AAACCGAGUGGCGGACGGGUGAGUAACACGUGGGUAACCCUUUCAUCAGCAGGGGAUAACAUUUAGGAAACAGAUGCUAAUACCGUAUAACCACGGAGACCGCAUGGUCUCCGGGUAAAAGAUGGCGAAAGCUAUCACUGAGGGAUGGACCCGCGGCGUAUUAGCCAGUUGGUGGGGUAAUGGCCUACCAAAGCGAUGAUACGUAGCCGACCUGAGAGGGUAAUCGGCCACAUUGGGACUGAGACACGGCCCAAACUCCUACGGGAGGCAGCAGUAGGGAAUCUUCCACAAUGGACGCAAGUCUGAUGGAGCAACGCCGCGUGAGUGAAGAAGGCUUUCGGGU
RNAcentral lists this ribosomal RNA (343 nucleotides) under Schleiferilactobacillus perolens. RNAcentral describes it as "bacterial SSU rRNA". It matches the Rfam family "Bacterial small subunit ribosomal RNA", at positions 88 to 423 of the family's 1533-position model. The record is from RNAcentral. Lineage: Bacteria; Bacillati; Bacillota; Bacilli; Lactobacillales; Lactobacillaceae.